GAGCGGAACGAGUUAUCAUGAACCUUCGGGGGACGAUAACGGCGUCGAGCGGCGGACGGGUGAGUAAUGCCUAGGAAAUUGCCCUGAUGUGGGGGAUAACCAUUGGAAACGAUGGCUAAUACCGCAUGAUGCCUACGGGCCAAAGAGGGGGACCUUCGGGCCUCUCGCGUCAGGAUAUGCCUAGGUGGGAUUAGCUAGUUGGUGAGGUAAGGGCUCACCAAGGCGACGAUCCCUAGCUGGUCUGAGAGGAUGAUCAGCCACACUGGAACUGAGACACGGUCCAGACUCCUACGGGAGGCAGCAGUGGGGAAUAUUGCACAAUGGGCGCAAGCCUGAUGCAGCCAUGCCGCGUGUGUGAAGAAGGCCUUCGGGUUGUAAAGCACUUUCAGUCGUGAGGAAGGUGGUGGAGUUAAUAGCUGAAUUAUUUGACGUUAGCGACAGAAGAAGCACCGGCUAACUCCGUGCCAGCAGCCGCGGUAAUACGGAGGGUGCGAGCGUUAAUCGGAAUUACUGGGCGUAAAGCGCAUGCAGGU
RNAcentral lists this ribosomal RNA (533 nucleotides) under Vibrio sp. BTED17. RNAcentral describes it as "bacterial SSU rRNA". It matches the Rfam family "Bacterial small subunit ribosomal RNA", at positions 64 to 576 of the family's 1533-position model. Lineage: Bacteria; Pseudomonadati; Pseudomonadota; Gammaproteobacteria; Vibrionales; Vibrionaceae. The record is from RNAcentral.